Molecule: non-coding RNA, 87 nt
Organism: Mycena vitilis
Lineage: Eukaryota; Fungi; Basidiomycota; Agaricomycetes; Agaricales; Mycenaceae
Source: the annotation of a GenBank genome assembly
UCGCAGGUGGUGUAAUGGUACCACACUCUCCUUUCAAGCUGUUUUGAGAUCACGAGAGAAACCGGGGUUCGAGUCCUCGCCUGCGGC